GUGCUCACUCUGGCAGCACAUAUACUGGAAUUGGAACCAUGCAAGGAAGAUUAGUUGGCCCCUGCGCAGGGGUGACACAAAUCCAGUCUGUGAAGUGUUCCAUAUUAAA
Molecule: small nuclear RNA, 109 nt
Organism: Sorex fumeus (smoky shrew)
Lineage: Eukaryota; Metazoa; Chordata; Mammalia; Eulipotyphla; Soricidae
Source: RefSeq, a predicted model, not a curated record